UGGUCAAGUUAUUAAGGGUGCAGGGCGGAUGCCUUGGCACUAGGAGCCGAUGAAGGACGUGAUAAGCUGCGAUAAGCUUCGGGGAGUUGCACGUAAACUUUGAUCCGAAGAUUUCCGAAUGAGGAAACUCACUUAGAGUAAUGUCUAAGUAUCAUUAAGUGAAUACAUAGCUUAAUGAGGGGAACUCAGGGAACUGAAACAUCUAAGUACCUGAAGGAAGAGAAAGAAAUUCGAUUCCGUAAGUAGCGGCGAGCGAACGCGGAUUAGCCCAAACCAAUAAAGUUUUCUUUAUUGGGGUUGCGGACAUAUCAUAACGAAGAGGUAUCGUAAUUGAAGAGGUUUGGAAAGACCCACCACAGAAGGUAAUAGUCCUGUAUGUUAAACGAGAAGACUUUAGAUAUGAUCCAGAGUACCACGGGACACGUGAAACCCUGUGGGAAGCAGGAGGGACCACCCUCCAAGGCUAAAUACUACCUAGUGACCGAUAGCGUAUAGUACCGUGAGGGAAAGGUGAAAAGAACCCCGGGAGGGGAGUGAAAUAGAACCUGAAACCCUGCACUUACAAGCUGUGGAAGCACAUUUCUUGUGUGACCGCGUACUUUUUGUAGAACGGGCCAACGAGUUACGUUAAGUAGCAAGGUUAAGCACUUAAGGUGCGGAGCCGUAGCGAAAGCGAGUUUUAACUGAGCGUUCAGUUACUUGACGUAGACCCGAAACCGGGCGACCUACCCAUGAGCAGGAUGAAGCGAAAGUAAAAUUUCGUGGAGGUCCGAACCCACGAGCGUUGAAAAGCUCGGGGAUGACUUGUGGGUAGCGGUGAAAUUCCAAUCGAGCCCGGAGAUAGCUGGUUCU
RNAcentral lists this ribosomal RNA (852 nucleotides) under Clostridioides difficile. RNAcentral describes it as "bacterial LSU rRNA". It matches the Rfam family "Bacterial large subunit ribosomal RNA", at positions 1 to 856 of the family's 2925-position model. The record is from RNAcentral. Lineage: Bacteria; Bacillati; Bacillota; Clostridia; Peptostreptococcales; Peptostreptococcaceae.